ACGGAAGGCAGCAGUAGGGAAUCUUCCACAAUGGGCGAAAGCCUGAUGGAGCAACGCCGCGUGUGUGAUGAAGGGUUUCGGCUCGUAAAACACUUUUGUAAGAGAAGAAUGACAUUGAGAGUAACUGUUCAAUGUGUGACGGUAUCUUACCAGAAAGGAACGGCUAAAUACGUGCCAGCAGCCGCGUUAAUACGUAUGUUCCCAGCGUUAUCCGGAUUUAUUGGGCGUAAAGCGAGCGCAGACGGUUAUUUAAGUCUGAAGUGAAAGCCCUCAGCUCAACUGAGGAAUUGCUUUGGAAACUGGAUGACUUGAGUGCAGUAGAGGAAAGUGGAAGUCCAUGUGUAGCGGUGAAAUGCGUAGAUAUAUGGAAGAACACCAGUGGCGAAGGCGGCUGUCUGGACUGUAACUGACGUUGAGGCUCGAAAGUGCGGGGAUCGAACAGGAUUAGAUACCCUGGUA
This 459-nucleotide ribosomal RNA is filed under the name uncultured Weissella sp. Its description in RNAcentral is "partial 16S ribosomal RNA". It matches the Rfam family "Bacterial small subunit ribosomal RNA", at positions 341 to 792 of the family's 1533-position model. Lineage: Bacteria; Bacillati; Bacillota; Bacilli; Lactobacillales; Lactobacillaceae. The record is from RNAcentral.